This 73-nucleotide transfer RNA is filed under the name Bos taurus (domestic cattle). It matches the Rfam family "tRNA". From Rfam's summary of the family: Transfer RNA (tRNA) molecules are approximately 80 nucleotides in length. Their secondary structure includes four short double-helical elements and three loops (D, anti-codon, and T loops). Further hydrogen bonds mediate the characteristic L-shaped molecular structure. tRNAs have two regions of fundamental functional importance: the anti-codon, which is responsible for specific mRNA codon recognition, and the 3' end, to which the tRNAs corresponding amino acid is attached (by aminoacyl-tRNA synthetases). tRNAs cope with the degeneracy of the genetic code in two manners: having more than one tRNA (with a specific anti-codon) for a particular amino acid; and 'wobble' base-pairing, i.e. permitting non-standard base-pairing at the 3rd anti-codon position. The record is from Rfam by way of RNAcentral. RNAcentral also lists the same sequence under 2 other names. Lineage: Eukaryota; Metazoa; Chordata; Mammalia; Artiodactyla; Bovidae.
UCCCUGGUGGUCUAGUGGCUAAGACUCCACGCUCCCAAUGCAGGACGCACAGGUUCAAUCCCUGUUCAGGAAA